Molecule: ribosomal RNA, 428 nt
Filed under: Bacteroidota bacterium
Lineage: Bacteria; Pseudomonadati; Bacteroidota
Description: Bacteroidetes bacterium partial 16S ribosomal RNA
Rfam family: Bacterial small subunit ribosomal RNA
Source: RNAcentral
UAGGGAAUCUUCGGCAAUGGGGGGAACCCUGACCGAGCAACGCCGCGUGAGUGAAGAAGGUUUUCGGAUCGUAAAGCUCUGUUGUUAAGGAAGAACGAGUGUGAGAAUGGAAAGUUCAUACUGUGACGGUACUUAACCAGAAAGGGACGGCUAACUACGUGCCAGCAGCCGCGGUAAUACGUAGGUCCCGAGCGUUGUCCGGAUUUAUUGGGCGUAAAGCGAGCGCAGGCGGUUAGAUAAGUCUGAAGUUAAAGGCAGUGGCUCAACCAUUGUAGGCUUUGGAAACUGUUUAACUUGAGUGCAGAAGGGGAGAGUGGAAUUCCAUGUGUAGCGGUGAAAUGCGUAGAUAUAUGGAGGAACACCGGUGGCGAAAGCGGCUCUCUGGUCUGUAACUGACGCUGAGGCUCGAAAGCGUGGGAGCGAACAGG